UACGGAGGGGGCUAGCGUUGUUCGGAAUUACUGGGCGUAAAGCGUACGUAGGCGGCUUUGUAAGUCAGAGGUGAAAGCCCACGACUCAAUCGUGGAACUGCCUUUGAGACUGCUUCGCUUGAAGAUGGGAGAGGUUAGUGGAAUUCCGAGUGUAGAGGUGAAAUUCGUAGAUAUUCGGAAGAACACCAGUGGCGAAGGCGGCUAACUGGACCAUUCUUGACGCUGAGGUACGAAAGCGUGGGGAGCAAACAGGAUUAGAUACCCUGGUAGUCCACGCCGUAAACGAUGAUAACUAGCUGUCGGGGCUCUUAGAGCUUCGGUGGCGCAGCUAACGCAUUAAGUUAUCCGCCUGGGGAGUACGGCCGCAAGGUUAAA
This 375-nucleotide ribosomal RNA is filed under the name uncultured bacterium. Its description in RNAcentral is "bacterial SSU rRNA". It matches the Rfam family "Bacterial small subunit ribosomal RNA", at positions 524 to 898 of the family's 1533-position model. The record is from RNAcentral.